UUGACUUCUUCCCUCCCUCGUUUCAUUUUGAAAACGCUGAAAGCACAAAAUCACGAAUUCAUCUGCCAUUUUCAUCGCCUUCGAUCUUGCAUAUUAUUUUGAUCAACUCCCUCUCUUUGUUGUUGGCUAUCUUUGUUCAAGCAGCUCUUCAUUGCCCGACAACUCUUCAUGACCUUCUCACUAUGGUCGAGAUCUUAACACUCGUGGCGAGUAGCACGUCGACGAUGGUGAAGAUUUGUUCGAAAUAUUUCUCGAAGAGGCUUACUUCUCUGUGACACCAAGCUGACGAUUCACUUUGGUGCAUGUUGUGCUGUGUUUUCUGAAGCGAAGCGGAGGAUGUGAGAAGAUGAGGUGAUGGAUGGCGCACACAGUGAGGAGCAUGAUCGCCUCUUCGACGCUCUGAGUCUAAGUGACAAGCUGCAUGGCUACAAAGAAAGUCGAUGUGAGAACCAUCUAGAUGCUUCUUGAGAAGGGAUUGCUAUUAUGAUUUGUGUAUAUUUCUUGUGCAUGGGAUUUCUAUUUUAGAAGAUUUAGUGGUAGCUCCAGCAGAUGGGUUGCAAGCAUCAAUUUGGUAAUAGUGGUGUGUCAAGUAAAACUAAAGCUUUGAUAUGUCAUUACGUGCUUUAUCC
Vigna unguiculata (cowpea) is the source of this 629-nucleotide long non-coding RNA. The record is from RefSeq and is a predicted model, not a curated record. Lineage: Eukaryota; Viridiplantae; Streptophyta; Magnoliopsida; Fabales; Fabaceae.